This 253-nucleotide ribosomal RNA is filed under the name uncultured bacterium. RNAcentral's name for it is "partial 16S ribosomal RNA". It matches the Rfam family "Archaeal small subunit ribosomal RNA", at positions 474 to 727 of the family's 1478-position model. The record is from RNAcentral.
UACCAGCACCCCGAGCGGUCGGGACGAUUAUUGGGCCUAAAGCAUCCGUAGCCGGUUCUACAAGUCUUCCGUUAAAUCCACCUGCUUAACAGAUGGGCUGCGGAGGAUACUAUGGAGCUAGGAGGCGGGAGAGGCAAGCGGUACUUAGUGGGUAGGGGUAAAAUCCGUUGAUCCAUUGAAGACCACCAGUGGCGAAGGCGGCUUGCCAGAACGCACUCGACGGUGAGGGAUGAAAGCUGGGGGAGCAAACCGG